Lasiosphaeris hirsuta is the source of this 70-nucleotide non-coding RNA. The record is from the annotation of a GenBank genome assembly. Lineage: Eukaryota; Fungi; Ascomycota; Sordariomycetes; Sordariales; Lasiosphaeriaceae.
GCGACCGUGGUCUAGUGGUUGAUCCAACCCUUCCAAGGUUGAGGGAGGGGUUCGAUUCCCUUCGGUCGCA